AGUGAACGCUGGCGGUAGGCCUAACACAUGCAAGUCGAACGGCAGCACAGUAAGAGCUUGCUCUUACGGGUGGCGAGUGGCGGACGGGUGAGGAAUACAUCGGAAUCUACUUUUUCGUGGGGGAUAACGUAGGGAAACUUACGCUAAUACCGCAUACGACCUACGGGUGAAAGCAGGGGAUCUUCGGACCUUGCGCGAUUGAAUGAGCCGAUGUCGGAUUAGCUAGUUGGCGGGGUAAAGGCCCACCAAGGCGACGAUCCAUAGCUGGUCUGAGAGGACGAUCAGCCACACUGGAACUGAGACACGGUCCAGACUCCUACGGGAGGCAGCAGUGGGGAAUAUUGGACAAUGGGCGCAAGCCUGAUCCAGCCAUACCGCGUGGGUGAAGAAGGCCUUCGGGUUGUAAAGCCCUUUUGUUGGGAAAGAAAAGCAGCAGGUUAAUACCCCGCUGUUCUGACGGUACCCAAAGAAUAAGCACCGGCUAACUUCGUG
Molecule: ribosomal RNA, 492 nt
Filed under: uncultured bacterium
Lineage: Bacteria
Description: partial 16S ribosomal RNA
Rfam family: Bacterial small subunit ribosomal RNA
Source: RNAcentral